This 301-nucleotide RNase P RNA is filed under the name Nanobdellota archaeon. RNAcentral's name for it is "RNase P RNA component". It matches the Rfam family "Archaeal RNase P". Rfam says of the family: Ribonuclease P (RNase P) is a ubiquitous endoribonuclease, found in archaea, bacteria and eukarya as well as chloroplasts and mitochondria. Its best characterised activity is the generation of mature 5'-ends of tRNAs by cleaving the 5'-leader elements of precursor-tRNAs. Lineage: Archaea; Nanobdellati; Nanobdellota. The record is from RNAcentral.
GCGAGCCCGGUAGCGCGCUCCGGAUCCUUGUGAUCUGAGGAAGCUCCGCGCAUCCACGAACGUGCCGUCGAGAGGCGGGAUCAGAGAUGGUCGUGCAGGGAGCAGAAACCGGAACCGCAGUGCUGAGCGAGGACAUCAGGACAACUCCUUUGCCGGAGGCGUCCUGUCGAGCCCUGACGCACUGGUGGUCUGAAACGGUCCUGCAACGCGGGAUGCAAGCCGAAAAGGCGCUCAGACAAAUGCGCGCUCCCCGGUUUGCUUCGGCAACGGGAAGACAGAACGCGGGCUAUGCCGGGCACGC